Molecule: RNA transcript, 10207 nt
Organism: Bombus huntii
Lineage: Eukaryota; Metazoa; Arthropoda; Insecta; Hymenoptera; Apidae
Gene: rno
Gene name: PHD finger protein rhinoceros
Exons: 11
Source: RefSeq, a predicted model, not a curated record
CGUGUCGCAGGGUCACGUGACUCCGCGCACAGACAGUUAUUUUUUUAGGCAUGAUGGCGCCAAACAGCAGUAUCCACAUUAAUGUAAAUACAAUAUCGAUUCGGUGCACCGCGCGAGGAAGAAAGCCAUCGGGUGUCCUUACGGAGGCUAUUUGAGGGCGUCGAGUGAGCUCGACAGGAGCCCUCGGGCCACGAAGUGAGUAAAACCGAGCUGGUCGCGGCUGCGACUCGAAUUGCUAAUGAGGACAUCUUGGUUAGGCUGCCGUGACAGAGGCGUACUCGGACUACUGCCAUCUCGGAGCUACCGAUCGAAGAAUAAUUCGAUCAUUCACGAUCAGACAUACCGGCUAUUAUUUGUCACGUGCAUCAUCGCGCGCGAAAUCACCCUCUCCGUCGAUAGAUCAAUAAUAAGGCAUUUACUGCCUUCCGACCAUUUCUAUCUUUUUCUGUCUCUUUCGUUCUUGCUCUCUCUUGCGCGCGCGUGCGUGUUCAUGUUUACGUGUGCGUGUCGAACUUGUGCUCGCGUGUUCGUAUCAACAUCGUGUGCGUAUAUAUUCACGUUCGUGCAUACCUGUGUUCUUACGUCGCGUGUGCGUAUUUACUUACAUUUCUGUGCAUGUGUAUUGAAAUUCGGCUGCGUGUGCGUUCAGAUGUGUAUACGUGUGUAUCGAGAUUCGUGUGCGAGUCGAGCCUGUCGCCAUCUGUAUUGUCAAUGUUGUCGGCCAGCAGGAGCACCACCAGCCCAAUGGACCCCUCCAAGAGGAAUCCGCUUUCUAGAUAAUAAAUACAUGGACGACUAUGUAGGUGUGCGCGGCUCACCUGCACGUGCCACGUACCGCUAGCUCACUUGGUAUAGUAGAAUGGCACAGCGAGGCAAACGGAUAAAUAGAAACGACAAUGAUUUGGCGUCUUGCCCAGGCGCAAUCAAAAGGCGCAAAUGUAGGCUGGUCCCAGCGUCGGGUUCGUCGUCGCUGGCAGCUACCAUGGGGCCCUCAGAAGAGGAGGAGACGAUGGCGUCGUCCAGUCAAGGAGGGGCAUCCUGGACCCCCAGACCACUCUGUGACAUUAAAAUCUCUAGUAUAUAUAAUCGCUCCUCUGCUGAGGCUCCUGCAGAAUUAUUUCGUAAGGAUUUGAUUAGCGCAAUGAAAUUACCUGACAGUGAGCCACUAAGUCCCAAUGAAUAUUGGGUUAUUACUGAUCAAUGGAAGCAAGAAUGGGAGAGAGGUGUUCAAGUACCUGUCAACCCAGACUCCCUUCCAGAACCAACAGUCACUAUCACACAAGCUACACCUAUAAAGCAGCACAGUGAAUUUAAAUUACCUAAAAAGUUCGUAAGGAUAUCUCGUGAUGAUUAUUUCAACCCUGAAGAUCAUCAUUUAAGCACAACUCCAGCACGAGCAGAAAAAGCUUGUGCCUAUGACCUUGAUGAUACUGAUAUUGCUUGGUUGGAUGUAUUAAACGGUGAACGUGCACAGGCUGGACAAUUGCCUAUUACGGAAUCACAAUUGGAACGUGUGAUAGAAGAACUGGAAGUUCGUUGUUGGGAAAGAAUACAAACUAUAGUCAAGAAUGAGGAAGGUCUUGGUAUUGAGUAUGAUGAAAAUGUGAUUUGCGAUGUUUGCAGAUCUCCUGAUUCUGAGGAAGGAAAUGAAAUGGUAUUUUGUGACUGCUGCAAUAUAUGUGUACAUCAAGCAUGUUAUGGAAUUACUUCAAUACCAGAUGGUUCAUGGCUAUGCAGAACUUGUUCUCUAAGUCAACGACCAGAUUGUGUUCUUUGUCCUAACAAAGGUGGUGCUAUGAAGUGUACUCGUAGUGGUCAAAAAUGGGCUCAUGUUUCUUGUGCUUUAUGGAUCCCAGAAGUCAGUAUUGGUUGUGUCGAAAGAAUGGAGCCUAUUACUAAAAUAUCCAGCAUUCCGCAAAGUCGAUGGGCCUUAAUAUGUGUAUUGUGUCGAGAGAGGGUCGGUGCUUGCAUCCAGUGCAGUAUAAAGACGUGUAAGACAGCGUAUCACGUAACGUGUGCCUUCAAAUAUGGCUUAGAAAUGAAGGCAAUCAUUGAAGAUGAAAUGGCAGAUGAUGGAGUAAAAUUAAGGUCUUACUGCCAGAAACAUAGUAGAACAAAUACGAAAGAUAAAGUUCAAGGUACUGGAAGCACUAUAGGAAGUGGAGCUGACAAAGCGGGAUCAGAUUCCGAAGAUGCGGAGUCUAGAAGACGUAAGAGAAAAGACAUGACUUCUGAAGAGAAAAAUCAAGCACGUGCUGCAAAACUACAGGAAAUUGAAGCAGAAUUUGACAAACACGUGAGUUUAAAGGAUAUCGCUUCGCAGCAGUUAGAUGUCGAUCCUGAUGGCAUUGUUUAUAUUUAUAAUUAUUGGAAGCUCAAAAGAAGGGCCGGUCAUAACAAACCGCUUUUGGCACCGCGUUGUGGAGAACUUUCGGGUAGUGGAUCGCGUAAUCAAGGACAAGCAGCAGAUCUUGAAAAGAUGAGGACAUUUGUGCAAUUGCGCCAAGAUCUGGAAAGAGUUCGAAACCUAUGUUACAUGGUUGGCAGAAGAGAAAAACUCUGUCGAACCUUCCUCAGAUUACGAGAGCAGACUUUCCACAAGCAAGCUUUACUAAUGUCUGGUCCACCUUUACCACCGUCAGCAGCCGCUGCUGUAAUGGAAGCAAAUCAUGGACCUUCGAUAUACGACCGAUUAUAUUCCCACCCUGACUCGGAGGAUCACACUCACGACUUUGACACGAUUAUUGCCAGAAUCGCUGGUAUAGACUCUCCGACUAGUGAAGAGAAGAAGACUCAGCAGCAGCAACAACAGCAGCAACAACAACAACAAGAUUUUAAUGGUGCCUCUAGUAAAAAGUUAUACUUCAAUGGCUCUGUCCGAAGAAAGACUCUUUAUGGCAGUGAUCUAUCAUCUGUCAGUAGUAGUGAAACGGAUGCGGCUAAGGUGAAGACAACCGAAAAAUCGAAAACUGAGUCGAGUACGGAAGAAGAAACUAACGUUUCGACGAAAACUAAACUAUCGCGAAGAAAAACGAAAAAGACUGUUCAAUCGGCUGAUAAAUUACAUUCGGCGCUUAGGGAUAACAGUGAAAAUGAAAAGCUUGUGAAUAGUAGAUCGCAUACGCUCGAACAUAUGGAGAAAGAAUUAGGAAGUGCUUCUGGUAGUGAAAGCGACGAACUGUUAAUGUUAAGCGGUGGCGCAACGAAGCAUUUUACCGCUUCCACUAUUUAUUCAGAUACUGACUCUGACUCCCAAGAACAUGCAUCUCAUUCUGCGGUUUUAAUCACAAAAGCAGCAGUGAAAGAGUUUUCCGCAGCAAAUUUGUCAAAAAAUUCACAAAAAAGUUUUGGCAAAGAUCCCAGACAUGUCGAAUCAACGUAUCAUAAUACAGGAUCGAAGAAUAAAGAGAAUCAAAAUAAAGCUGGCUCUAAAAAGAAAGAAUAUAUACCUUCCGCAUUAAUCGUUCCGCAGAGACAAGCUGCGAAGAAAGCUUCGGAAAUCAUGCAACGCACACAGCAAGGCAAAAAAGACAAUUCGGUGCCUGAAUCUACUCCAGAAGUAAUUAAGUCUCCUGUCGACGAAUUUCCGAAAUGUUCCUCGUCGAAGCAAUCAAAAGACAAAACCCCUAAUAAAAAACAGAGAGAAAACAAACAGUCGAAAGAAACUAAAAAUAACGAUGUAUAUGAUUUCGAUAAAGAAGAUGGAACGGAGAUUUUGGCGUAUGUGCCGCAAAGACAAGCUGCCAAGAAGGCCGCCGAACACAUCAAAAGUGGCAUGGGUACUAAGACUACGCAGCAAAUCGAACAGGAGACGCUUGACGGAAGAUCGAAAAAGGAAUCUCCAGAAGCAGGAAAAAGGAAGGAAAUUAAAAAGGACGAUUCUUCCAGAAAAGAAGAACUUCCUUCACGAAAAGAAGAAAUAUCCUCAUCAUCUUCAUCGUCGUCAUCUUCCUCAUCCUCUUCGUCAUCUUCAUCCUCUUCUUCAUCUUCUUCUUCCUCAUCCUCUAGAAAAGAGGAAGUUUCAUCCAGAAAGGACGAAUUGAUUUCUAAGAAAGAAGAAUCGUCCUCCAGGAAAGAGGAAAUCAUCUCGAAGGAGAGUCGCCCGAGAAGACCUAGAAAACCGAGCGACCAAAAGUCGUCGGUGCUUUCAAGCAACAGCGAUAGCAGCAGUAGUAGUAAUAGUUGUAGUAGUUCCUCAGAAAGUAGCAGUGAUUCCGAAAAUCCAGAACGUAGGAAAUUCUCAGAUGAAGUGGUGGACGGUUCUUCUUGUUCUACUUCCUCUGAAAGUGAUACUGGUAACAAAACGAAAAGUAAACCGGUUACAAUUUCAAGCACAGCAAAUAGAAGGCAACAGUCUAAUAAAACGUCACCAGAACGACAGGAUGCUGAAAGAAAACAAAUUUCAGGGCGGAAACUCAAGAAGCUGCCCGAGAAGAAGCUUAAAACUUCCGACGGGCGGCGGGGACCUGAGUUUCAGCCGCCUACUGAGAGAGAGGAAUCUCGUAGAACCCCUAAAGAACAACAACAGCCACAGACACAACAACAAGAAGCAACUGUCAAGAAGCAGGAUCAAAGAGACAACAAACAAAAGCAACCAGCAACAGCGGGAGCCACAACAACAGGAACAGAGACUAAUGAGGAUCUGCUCAUUGGGUCUGGAGAUCAUGAUGGGGCAAGAAGUGUUCCUGGGUCCAGACCUCCCAAAAAGUCGGGUCAAGCUAGUAAGCAGCAGUCCUUGUCAAGGAAAGAAGAUAAGAAGACCAAGUCCGAAGGCAGAAAGCGAAAAUCGAACGAGUCUGUCGCAAAGGAUGAAAAGAGUGGGAAAGAAACGAUCAAGAAACCGGAGAAACGGUUAACUGACAAGCAACCUGUCAAGAUAGUAGAAAAUAAAAACGAAGAGGAGAGUAGAAAAGACGAACCAAAGAUUGUUGAUCAAGGAAAAACUAACGAAUGCAUGGACAAUUCUUCAAAGAACGAAGAGAAGAAAAUUAAAAAGAUUGGAGGCAAGGACGCAAUCAAUAUUUUGGAAGAAGAAAUGAAACAGCGUAGGGCGGAAAGGGAUAGUCCGAAAAAAUCAUUGAGGGGAUUAGAUAAAUUGUUGGAGAAACGUGAACAUCACGACAAAAUGUCUAAGAGUAAAAAUUCGGAGGUGAAAGUUGAGAAAGUUGCUUGUGACGAGGAAAAGGAAGAGAAGGGAUCCGUGGAAGAAAGUCUACAAAUGAAAGAAGCUGUGAAAAACGAAGAUCGUAAAAACCAUAUUAACGAGAGCGAUAUUAUUAUUGAGAAACCAAAAUCGGAAGAACAAGAGGAGGAAGAGAUAAUAAAGAAGGAUAUUUCCGAGGUACCAGAAAUUGAGAAAGUUAUAGCUGGAAAGAAGAAAACGGAUCGGAAUCAAACGAAGAACCUGGAGGAAAUUGUCGAACAACGAAGUGUUGAACCACCGCAAAAUAUCGAACCUCAGCCCGUUCCCGUGGAAGACAAUGUGCAGAAAGAAAGCAGCAAAGAUGACAACGUCAAAUCUGUUUUGGAAAGAGUUGAAAAUUCUGAAAAAGAACAUCAAAAACGACGAAAAUCUGCAAAUAGAUCAAUUUUCUCGCCACAACAUGGUAAAGAUGCGAGUGUUUCGGAAUUGUUUGAUUUUGACCAGGAUAUGUUAACAGAAGAAAUAGUGAACGAAGAUGGAUUUGGUAUAUCAAGAGAUGCGGAAGAACGGGGUGUACCAUUAAGUUUCUCGUUCAAUAAUGAGUUGUGGUUCAAGGAAGAUUCGAAAGAAGAUAGCGCGAGGGAAACAUUGCAUCUUGUUGAGAAAUUGCGUAUGGAACUCUCGAAGAAAUCAAAUUCUAGUCAGUUCGAAUUAGAGGCAGUACCUGUGGAUGGCGAAAUCAAAAAGGAGGAACCACCAAUAGAAAAAACGUACGAGCAACAACAACAACCACCGCAGCAACUACAAUCGCAACAACCACAACAAUCCCCGCAACUUCAGCAGCAGCAACAGCAACUUGCUCAAACUCAAGCAGAAAAAGAGACAAAGAUCCUCGAGCCUAUUGCAGAACCAGUCCUAAACGUAAAAAAUGUUGAAAUUUCCGAAGAAGAGGUAGCUAUUAAUGAAACCCGUCCUAGCACUUAUAAUAAGAGUACGGUAGAGGAAAAGAGAAAAACAUGCUACUCGAGCGGUAACGAUAGGUAUGCGGCCUAUGAAGAGGAUCGUGAGGCGAACAAAGUAAGCUUAGUGGAACGAUCAAAACUCGAUCGAGCGGAGACUGACGAGAGAUGGGUUCCACCAAGCAUCAAUAGUUUUGAACUGAGUGAUGUGCAACAUUUGAAUGCUUUGAUGGAGACGCAGAAUCGUCGAUACAGCAAUCAUUUUUCUAAUGAAACUAUUUCAGAGAACGAUUCUAUCGCGCGUACUCAUUUGACCGCACCGAGUAUCCAGGAACAAUAUCUUUUGCAGCAAUCACAUUCGAUUCUACAUAGUCAGCAAGAGCCACACGAAAGGACGAUACUCGAUCAACAGAUACCUGAAGAAAGUCCUAUGGAAAUAAUGAGCAGACAUUUGAUCAGUUUGCCAGCAUCAGAAGAGGAUCAGGCUGCUGAAAUGAUGGACAGGGUGCUCGAUAAAGAGGACGACGUUGUCAGACAGCAGGAGUACGAUCAAAAUUCACCGUACAAUGAUAUAAACGGUCGUCCAGACACCAGGUGGGCGGAAAGUCAAGUUUUGCCUUCCCGAAGAUCUACAUCUUCUUCGAUUACUUCCGCCUCUUCCGCGGAGGAUCAUUCCAUUCCACCUUACAAGAACGUACCGAGCAUUCCGUUUCCACCAUGUUCCAUGGAAACAACAUACUACGCGGAUUCGAGUUACGGUACCGGUCCAGUCAGCCUAUUUCCGCCACAGUCCUGUGCAGCACCUUUACCUUACCCUUCUCCUGGACCAGCUCUUUUUCCGCCAGCAUUUGGAGCUGCGUUUCCAGGAGCUCAAUCGUUAUUGCCACACGUGAAACCGCUAGAAGAUUCGCUUAAUCUACAAGCUUCGCCAUGUACCGCAGCAUUCACGUCUUCCUCGCACAACAUGGCGCUUACCGCAGCCAUGGUCUCGCCUACUAAGAUAGUCACACCACCUCCACCACCACCGCCACCACCUCCACAAGUCACCGUUCCACCUGCAGAACCUAUAGAGAGGACGCAACAACAAUUACAAACGCAAGUAACCGCUUCACCUUCGUUGCCAAUAAACUUCUUAAACACCGUAGCACCAGAGAGUCAUGCCAGCGACACCGUUGUCGAGAGCCUUCAAGAAGCUCUAACGGACAGCAAGAGCCAACAUUCUGGGAAAAAGUCACCUUCCAAACCUACCAGGACAUCUGCUCGUGUAACGUCUUUGCAAGGGAAGUCUCCGGGAAAAUCUCCAAGACAGGAAACGCAGAAAAACGUUCCUGGAGCGCGAGGUCGUGGCAGAGGUGCCAAAAAUUCGGCGCAACACUCCGGUUAUAGGGGGCGUGGACGCGGAAGAGGCAGAGGUCGAGGUAGAAGCGGACAAAAUUCAGGACUCUCUCUGGUCUCCGGCGCGGGUAUCGGCCAACACGAUGACUCCAUUCAGAACAAACUAGUCGGCACAGUUUACGACUUCGAUUCCGACGAAGAUUCAACUAGUGAGGCGAAUAUUGCCGAUUUACGCACUAUGAGAGAGCGAAAGAAGUCGACUGAUGCCGCGACGGCUGGAGUCGAAAGGAGAGAUUCCACGGUUAUGGCUUCCGGAGAAAGCGUUCAGUCAAGACUCUCCAGCCCUGGAGGUAGCAGGAAGUAUCUGGAAGACAGACGACUCUCUUGCUCUCCAAGUCAUGAUGAUUCUGUUGUCGUGGAAAGUCAGUCAAACGCUGGACAGAGCUUCGAUACCGUCCUACCACUUAUUCCAGGCCCUGUCGAUAUGAGAACAUACAAUUCCACUCUUGAUGCUUCAAGUUCUUCUACCUUGCAUGGUCAGACGUACGAGAAUCAUUUCCUGGGUACGUUUACGAGCGUUUCAGCUAAUGAUCCUGCCCUCCCGGAUAUCGAAGAAGACCUCGAGAAAGAAUUCGGACCCGCGCUGAUCAAGCAAGGUCAAGAAGACUGUUCAAAGCCGAAUUUUGAUGCGAGUAUCGAUGCCUCAUCUUCUGGCUUUGUUGACGCCAAUAAAGUCUCCUUGACGGAUUCGAGAAACCAGCUGAAGGUUAAGAUCAAAGGUCCUUUCCUGGAUGCUAAUUACGUUGCUACCUCGUCGGUACCACCGCUUGCACAGCAGGCACCCGUGAUAAUCACACCAGCCGCUACCAGUGCUUCCAUCGCUUCCGGAACCUCAAACCUUAGACGAAUGCGAAAGAAGGAAUUGCUCCGGCAGUACUGUUCUCAGGAUAUGAAUAUGGACGAGCCAGGUUGUGGAAACCUGGCUACGUCAGCACCAAUCAUCAUGCCACAGAUCAAUCGCACAGUGAUAACAAUACCGAAAGCGGUUGCCUCGAUGACCAGUAUACCCACGAGGGAAGACUACAAGGCAGUCGUCGAUGCGAACAUGGAGAAGAAACGAAGAAAAGAAAGAUCUGCCGGAUUCUUGGAUACUAACGAGGAAGAGGGAAGUGUCGAGAGAAGGCGGGGCAGCGCUACUAACGGUGCUAGUUCCAGUGGUAACGCUCCAGUCGGAAACACGGAUCGUAGGAGAGGCAGGCAGAGUAGUGGCGGUAGAUCGACGACUACGACCACCACGACCACUACUACGAACAGUGGUCCGCCGAAGUUGAAGAUCAAGAUCGGUAACAGCAUAAUUGGUGGCCAAGAAAGUGGCCAGGAUGACAGAACGAGGAUCAGACCGCCGAAAAAGCGGUUGUGCAGUAUUCCUAGUAGUACACCGAGCAUCGAGGAGUUAAAGAGAGAGAGUAUGAAAUUCAGGCGUAUGAUCAUGGCCGGUUUCGAUAACGAUGAGAAAUUAAGAGGGAAAAGUAAAAAGGAUAGAAAUAGUAAACGAAAGAAACGACAGUCGAGUAGAAAGGAAGCUAGGGUACGUAUCCUCGAGGGUGGAACCGCUCCUCCGAAAUUAAUAAUAAGACUCGGCAAAGGUAAUGAUUCUCCAGACGAAUUACCGAUUUUGCUCACGGAUGAGGAAGAAGAGGACGAAGAGGAACGACAUCCGACUGAUAGUAGAGUAGGUCCCCCACCUCCGGAACCGGUCAAAGACGAGCCUGUUUACCCAUCGGUAGCUGCUAACAUCGAAGAGAAACAACCUACCGACCCAGAUACUGGUGGUAGUGCACCCAGAAACGUUCGUUCGGCGAAAGUCACUCCGAUUAGGUUAAAAUUGACACGUUGUCAAGAGGGCUACGAGUUGAAGGGCCCACCAGUCCACGGUGAGGAGUCCAGUUUAACGAGGGAGAAACCGGGAAGUCUUGAAGUUUCGAACGAGACAAGAAAUCCACCGAUCAAGGGCCAAGACGAGGAGGAAUCUUCCAGAGAGGAGGAAGAAGAAGAAGAGGAGGAGAACAAUAGUUCCGUGCAGAGGGACUCCUCCACGUGUCCUGCCGCGACAAGUAUACCGCAGGGAUGCCAAGUUAGGUGAUAAUUAAUGAUACUCGUGGAGUAAUGAAGCAGAGGACAAGAACACAUACACACGGUGCUUGUAUGAUUUUUACGAUCGAUAAAGAAAACGGACUCGAUACACGCUUGCGGUGAAAGCAUGUUGCCGUAAUAAGCGUAUCGUUGGCUUAGUGGAAAGAUCUAAGAAAGAGACAGACAACACUGAUGUCGUCGUAGGCUUCAAAACUUCAAGUUUUUGGUAUUUGCUUUAAAUCAGGUCAAAUAUUUUACUAAUAUUAUUAAAUUGAAUAAUACUACUUCGAUAAAUAGAUCGAUAUUAAUAAUCAAAUCGUUAGUGAUCAAAUAUUUUUUGUUUUGCAGAUAGAUCCGUUUAGGUUCAAGAUUUUCAAUAGGAGUUGUACAUAUAAUUGAUAAAGUACGGAGUAUGAAUUUUAUCAACUGUUUUCACUAAGCCUAUGAUACGAUAGUUCUUGAUACAACAUUUUUUACAAAAUUGUAUGUAAGAAUUACUUGCAUUAGUCUGUUGAUGAUAUUUAUAGACCAUGUUUUUUAUUUUAUUAUUAUUAUAUUUUAUUAUUAUUAAUAUUAAUAUUAUUAUUAUUAAUCAUUAUCAUUAUCUUAUGUAUAUACGAUGAUUAUUCUUUGUUCA